Malania oleifera is the source of this 1927-nucleotide long non-coding RNA. RefSeq lists it as uncharacterized. NCBI's taxonomy places the organism in Eukaryota, Viridiplantae, Streptophyta, Magnoliopsida, Santalales, Ximeniaceae. The transcript has 5 exons. The record is from RefSeq and is a predicted model, not a curated record.
UAUAAUUUUGAACUCGCGCAACUCAUCUCCACUCUUGAUCCACUCUCAUUUCUCCUCUGCUCAUCAGCCCUAGCCCUGAAACUGUGUUCCUCUCUCAGUUUCUUCUGAGUUAGAAGCGGCAUUGCUCGAUUGUUCGUGAGGGAAAGAGGCUGAACCAAGAUUAGCAGGGAACCCUCGAAAUUUCUCGCUAUCAUUAUCCUCUGCACGUCAGCUUUGGCUCUGAAACUGAUUUCCCCUCUCAGUUUCUUCCGAGUUAGAAGCAGCAUCGCAACCGUUAGUGUGGGAAACAGGCCGAACCAAAAUUAGCAGGGAAGCGUAGAAAACAUUGCUGGCCAAGAGGAUGCGUACCAAGAGGUUGCCUACCAAGUUGCUACGUAAAGAAUUGAAGGAAAUAUUGGCAACCAAGAGGAUGCCUACCAAGAGACCGUUUGAAGAACCGAAGGUGAAUGUGGGUGAAUAUUCUACUCUACCAGCUAAGAAACUGAGAACACAUUUUAGCCCCAAUUCAUCAGGACCUACAACGAUGGAGGACGAUUGGCUUGGGGAAACUGGUUAACGGUCUUUAUCAUAUGAUGUCACCUUCUGUUUCAGCUCCAAAGUCUCUCAUUGCGACCCAUUCUUCUUUUGAUGUUUGGCAUAAAAGGCUUGGUCAUCCAUCUGAUUCCAGACUGUUAUUACUUUGUGAUUUGCUUUCUUUUUCUUCUUUUAAGUCUACCAAUAAUUGUCCUUGUAAUAUUUGUCCCAAGGCUAAGCAACAUCGCUUGCCAUUUCCUUCAAGCACUUGGGUGACUACUUUUAAUUUUCAGCUUGUUCAUGCUGAUAUUUGGGGCCCUUUUCUUGUGCCUUCCUUACAAGGAUUUCGUUAUUUUCUUUCCAUUGUAGAUGAUUUCUCUCAAUGUACAUGGAUAUUUCUAAUGAAAAAUAAAAGUGAGAUACUUAUGCAUCUUCAUAAUUUUUUUAUUCUUGUUGAAAAUCAGUUUAAUACAUCAGUCAAAAUUCUUGGCACUGAUAAUCGGUAGGAAUUUCUUAUGUUUGAUUUUCUUGCUUCAAAAGGUAUCAUCCAUCAAUGCACUUGUGUUGCUACGCCUCAGCAAAAUUUAGUUGAGCGAAAGCAUCAACAUUUGCUUAAUGUUGCUCGUGCUCUUCGAUUUCAAGCUCACUUUCCUUUAUCUUUUUGGGCAGAUUGUAUUCUAACUGCAGCAUAUCUUAUAAAUCGAAUGCCUACUCCUAUUUUGUCUAACAAAUCCCCUUUUGAAGUUCUCUUUCAAAAUUUCCUUCUACAACUCGAUGAUCUCUUACUGGUUUUUGUGUCUUUCUUGGUUCAUAUCUAAUUUCCUGGCGUUCUAAAAGGCAAACUACAAUAUCUAGAUCCUCUGCUGAAGUUGAGUAUAGGGCUAUGGCGUUUACUACUUGUGAGUUAGUUUGGUUCAUCUGUAAUCUAUUGCUCUAUAUUGUGACAACCAAGCUGCUAUGCAUAUUGCGUCCAAUCCAGUUUUUCACGAACGCACCGAACAUAUUGAAAUAGAUUGUCAUUUGGUUCGGGAUCAUGUUCAGUCUGGUUUUCUUCAUCUGCUUUAUGUGCCUUCGCGUCAUCAACUGGCAUACUUCUUUACCAAAGCACUGGGUUUGGAUGUCUUCCAUCAUUUACUUGCCAAGUUGGGCAUAAUAAACAUACACUGUCCAACUUGAGGGGACGUAUUAUGAAUUGUUGAUAGCAACAGCAGCAACAACAGAGUGCAGUAGCCUGAGCCUGCAGCAGUUUGUUAGUAACAGCAGCAGCAAAAUAGUUAGCAACAGCAGGCUAAUUUAGUUAUAGUUAUAGUUUAGUUAUUAAGUUGUUAAGAUUUCUGUUAUUUUCUUCUUGUAUAUAUAUUCUCUCUUGUAAACUGUUAUUGAAUUGUAAUGCAAUAGAAAUAUUUUCACAAAU